GACAGAGGAUGCAAGCGUUAUCCGGAAUGAUUGGGCGUAAAGCGUCUGUAGGUGUUUGUUAAGUGAAUAGUGAAAUCUGGGGGCUCAACCUCACAGACUAUUAUUCAAACUGGCAAACUCGAGAAUGGUAGAGGUAACUGGAAUUUCUAGUGUAGGAGUGAAAUCCGUAGAUAUUAGAAGGAACACCAAUGGCGUAGGCAGGUUACUGGACCAUUUCUGACACUGAGGCACGAAAGCGUGGGGAGCGAACCGG
This 253-nucleotide ribosomal RNA is filed under the name uncultured bacterium. Its description in RNAcentral is "partial 16S ribosomal RNA". It matches the Rfam family "Bacterial small subunit ribosomal RNA", at positions 524 to 776 of the family's 1533-position model. The record is from RNAcentral.